RNAcentral lists this long non-coding RNA (876 nucleotides) under Daucus carota (carrot). RNAcentral's name for it is "long non-coding RNA (DCAR_LNC006959)". The record is from RNAcentral. Lineage: Eukaryota; Viridiplantae; Streptophyta; Magnoliopsida; Apiales; Apiaceae.
UUAAUAUUUAAGAUUCGUCCACAGAGAUUAAAAUUAUUUUCGCAUUACCUUACUUAAAAUCUACGCGAAUUAGAACUAAUUUUGAAAGUUUGGGGAAAUUACGAUUUAACUAAUUAACAAGUAGGAUAUCUUGAGUACUAAUUUAAAAAAAAACAAAUUAAACUAGAAAUUGAUAAACUAAACUUAAACUUACAACUUCAAGGACUAGAAGACAAAAUGAGUUAAUAUAAAUUUGGCAUGACGUCAUUUUGCAACUUUAUCCAAUAUAAAAUCCACAACCUUUAUCAAUCAUUAACGAAACUCACGUGAGAACCAAAACAUGAAAUCAACAAAUGCAGCCACAAAAAAAUACAAAAAAAUAAAGGAUGACUACUCGGCCAAAACAACACAAAACAGACUCGGUGAACCCAGACUCUAACUAAAACAAACGACUCAGACUCAGUUUUAAAGCAGAACUCGGAAAACAAACACCAGCGGCGACAGGACUAAACUCGGCACUACACUAUCGAUUCAAAGAAAACAGAGCAGCCAAAUAACACCAAAUUCAAAUCAAAACUAAACAACAAGACUAGAUUGUGACUACGAGCGUGACUCGAAACCGGAAACAUAGUGCCAGUUCAAACAGGAGCUGAAACACAAACAGAAAAUAAAAUCUCGCAGCAAUUAGGACUCAAGCCAGGACUCGAACAAAACUCAGCUGAAUAAAACAAACUCAAACUUCUAAAACGAAACAACAAGACUCGAUUUACUGGACUCAGAAACGCAGCAACUGACUCGGGCAAAACUCAGAUUAAAAUUAAGCAACGAUUAUAUAAACUCAGUAGCAACAACGGACCCAACUCGCGACUACAGUGGACUCGGAAACAAGCAAAACUG